RNAcentral lists this non-coding RNA (93 nucleotides) under unclassified sequences. RNAcentral describes it as "skipping-rope RNA". It matches the Rfam family "skipping-rope RNA". Rfam says of the family: Firmicutes, Fusobacteria, AlphaProteobacteria, Spirochaetes. Downstream gene The record is from Rfam by way of RNAcentral.
ACAGUCUGAGGACCGGAAAAUCUGCUGCCGGCCCGCCCGGUGAAAAGUCAUGGAAAAGGGCGCGAUGUGGGAGUGGCAGUCCCACCGGACUGU